UUUUUUCCUUCUCUUGUUGUCGUCUCUCUCUUUCUCGAGCUUUUCCCGACAAAAACCGAGUCAUGCGAGAUCACCAUGAUUCGAGUCGAUCUGAACCAUGCUCACUUCUCCAGGUGGUUUCUCGGAAUCGAAAGAUGUCAAAGAUCUGCCAGUACUUCUAAUGAAGAAGCUGAUUAUUGUAACUUGUUCGGUGGAGCAUCUGAUACUCUUGAGUAAGAACCCGAUUGUAACAUGGUGAUGGUGUUUGUGAAGUCCUCCAAGUCCAAAUACCAAAUUACCAAUCAUGAUUGUGAGAAGAGCUAUGAAGAACUCAACUGUUGUUCCUAGAGGUGGAGCUAUAGAUAUGGAGAUAAGCAAGUACCUGAGGCAGCAUUCAAGAACUAUUGCUUGGAAGUCACAGCUUUUCAUCAACUCUUAUGCGAAGGCUCUGGAGGUACACUUCAUGGUUGACUUGGAUGUUUUAACUUUUGUGCCUCUUGAUUUCACAUAUAAAAAAGAGAAUAUUACUUAUUUCCAUGUGGCCUGUUAGAUCUAGGUCCUUUAACAAUUUCUUUCACAUCUUUCAUGGUUG
Arabidopsis lyrata subsp. lyrata is the source of this 571-nucleotide long non-coding RNA. RefSeq lists it as uncharacterized. The record is from RefSeq and is a predicted model, not a curated record. The transcript is spliced from 5 exons. Lineage: Eukaryota; Viridiplantae; Streptophyta; Magnoliopsida; Brassicales; Brassicaceae.